Molecule: long non-coding RNA, 333 nt
Organism: Oreochromis niloticus (Nile tilapia)
Lineage: Eukaryota; Metazoa; Chordata; Actinopteri; Cichliformes; Cichlidae
Exons: 2
Source: RefSeq, a predicted model, not a curated record
UUCAUGUACAGCAGAAACCUUACAAAUAGAGUUUGUAGUAUAAGUAUAUCUAAAGCACCAUAACAUUUAUUGUGCCUUUUCUCAAUAAUAAUGAAGGGUAAAUGGUUGUAUCUCUCCUCAGUGUGCAGAGGUUGAGAAGAAACGUAUGCAGAGCUGCAUCCACUUUAUGAAUCUGAAAAAGCUCAAUCGACUUGCUCAUAUGCGUCUAAAGAAAGGCAGAGACCAAACACACGAGGCAAAACAGAAAGUCGAUGUGCUGCACCUUCAGCUGCAAAAUCUGCUGUAUGAAGUCAUGCAUCUUCAGAAGGAGAUCAGCAAGUGUCUGGAGUUUAA